AUACGUAGGGUGCAAGCGUUGUCCGGAAUUAUUGGGCGCAAAGCGCGCGCAGGUGGUUCCUUAAGUCUGAUGUGAAAGCCCCCGGCUCAACCGGGGAGGGUCAUUGGAAACUGGGGAACUUGAGUGCAGAAGAGGAUAGUGGAAUUCCAAGUGUAGCGGUGAAAUGCGUAGAGAUUUGGAGGAACACCAGUGGCGAAGGCGACUGUCUGGUCUGUAACUGACACUGAGGCGCGAAAGCGUGGGGAGCAAACAGGAUUAGAUACCCUGGUAGUCCACGCCGUAAACGAUGAGUGCUAAGUGUUGGGGGGUUUCCGCCCCUCAGUGCUGCAGCUAACGCAUUAAGCACUCCGCCUGGGGAGUACGGUCGCAAGACUGAAACUCAAAGGAAUUGACGGGG
RNAcentral lists this ribosomal RNA (397 nucleotides) under uncultured bacterium. RNAcentral's name for it is "partial 16S ribosomal RNA". It matches the Rfam family "Bacterial small subunit ribosomal RNA", at positions 523 to 918 of the family's 1533-position model. The record is from RNAcentral.